GGCCGCGGGAAUUCGAUUUCUGGUUGAUCCUGCCAGACCCGACUGCUAUCAGAGUGGGACUAAGCCAUGCGAGUCAACGUAGCAAUGCGUGGCGAACGGCUCAGUAACACGUAGUCAACAUGCCCAGGGGACGUGGAUAACCUCGGGAAACUGAGAUUAAACCGCGAUAGGUCAAGAUUUCUGGAAUGGAUCUUGUCUUAAAUCUACAUGGCCCCUGGAUUGGACUGCGGCCGAUCAGGCUGUUGGUGAGGUAAUGGCCCACCAAACCUAUAACCGGUACGGGCUCUGAGAGGAGAAGCCCGGAGAUGGGCACUGAGACAAGGGCCCAGGCCCUAUGGGGCGCAGCAGGCGCGAAACCUCUGCAAUGGGCGAAAGCCUGACAGGGUUACUCUGAGUGAUUUCCGCUAAGGAGAUCUUUUGGCAGCUCUAAAAAUGGUGCAGAAUAAGGGGUGGGCAAGUCUGGUGUCAGCCGCCGCGGUAAUACCAGCACCCCGAGUGGUCGGGACGAUUAUUGGGCCUAAAGCAUCCGUAGCCGGUCGUGCAAGUCCUCCGUUAAAUCCAGCCGCUCAACGGAUGGGCUGCGGAGGAUACUACAGGACUAGGAGGCGGGAGAGGCAAGCGGUACUUAGUGGGUAGGGGUAAAAUCCUUUGAUCCAUUGAAGACCACCAGUGGCGAAGGCGGCUUGCCAGAACGCGCUCGACGGUGAGGGAUGAAAGCUGGGGGAGCAAACCGGAUUAGAUACCCGGGUAGUCCCAGCUGUAAACGAUGCAGACUCGGUGAUGGGCUAGCCUCGUGUCAGCCCAGUGCCGCAGGGAAGCCGUUAAGUCUGCCGCCUGGGGAGUACGGUCGCAAGACUGAAACUUAAAGGAAUUGGCGGGGGAGCACCACAAGGGGUGAAGCCUGCGGUUCAAUUGGAUUCAACGCCGGGAAUCACUAGUGAAUUC
RNAcentral lists this ribosomal RNA (945 nucleotides) under uncultured archaeon. RNAcentral describes it as "bacterial SSU rRNA". It matches the Rfam family "Archaeal small subunit ribosomal RNA", at positions 1 to 940 of the family's 1478-position model. The record is from RNAcentral.